Molecule: non-coding RNA, 216 nt
Organism: Helianthus annuus (common sunflower)
Lineage: Eukaryota; Viridiplantae; Streptophyta; Magnoliopsida; Asterales; Asteraceae
Source: Rfam
ACGACCUUACUUGAACAAGAUCUGUUUUAUAGGCCCGUACCUCUGAGUUCUUGAUUCCUAAGAAGACAGAAACCCAUGUCUAAUGGACGAAUCAGUACCGUGUGACUAGAGCGUGAUUAACGGAGCCACUUUUUUUCUCGGGCUCAAUGAACAUGUUAACCCGUACCCUAUUUUGAUGGGUCAGUAGAGGAUCGUUGCCAGCCCAUCUGAUGGGUC